CGCACUGUAAACUAUGAUUACUCGCUGCUGGAGGGCAACUUUCAGUGGCUUAGCGAAAGCGAUAAGUAAUCCACCUGGGGAGUACGCCGGCAACGGUGAAACUCAAAGGAAUUGACGGGGGCCCGCACAAGCGGAGGAGCAUGUGGUUUAAUUCGAUGAUACGCGAGGAACCUUACCAGGGCUUGAAAGUUAAGGAAUGAUUUUGAAAGAAGUCAGUCAGCAAUGACCUGAAACUAGGUGC
This 241-nucleotide ribosomal RNA is filed under the name uncultured bacterium. RNAcentral describes it as "partial 16S ribosomal RNA". It matches the Rfam family "Bacterial small subunit ribosomal RNA", at positions 796 to 1041 of the family's 1533-position model. The record is from RNAcentral.